This 239-nucleotide ribosomal RNA is filed under the name uncultured bacterium. RNAcentral describes it as "partial 16S ribosomal RNA". It matches the Rfam family "Bacterial small subunit ribosomal RNA", at positions 1111 to 1349 of the family's 1533-position model. The record is from RNAcentral.
CUAGUUGCCAUCGGGUCAWGCCGGGCACUCUAGUGAAACUGCCKCKGAUAACGAGGAGGAAGGUGGGGAUGACGUCAAGUCCUCRUGGCCUUUAUGUCCRGGGCUACACACGUGCUACARUGGUCGGUACAAACCGUCGCAAACCCGUGRGGGGGAGCUAAUCGGAAAAAGCCGGCCUCAGUUCGGAUUGGAGUCUGCAACUCGACUCCAUGAAGCUGGAAUCGCUAGUAAUCGCGGAU